UCCCUGGUGGCUCAGUGGUAAAGAACCUGCCUGCAGUGCAGGAGACCCAGGUUCGAUUCCUGGGUCGGGAA
RNAcentral lists this transfer RNA (71 nucleotides) under Bos taurus (domestic cattle). It matches the Rfam family "tRNA". From Rfam's summary of the family: Transfer RNA (tRNA) molecules are approximately 80 nucleotides in length. Their secondary structure includes four short double-helical elements and three loops (D, anti-codon, and T loops). Lineage: Eukaryota; Metazoa; Chordata; Mammalia; Artiodactyla; Bovidae. RNAcentral also lists the same sequence under 4 other names. The record is from Rfam by way of RNAcentral.